GAUGAACGCUGGCGGCGUGCCUAAUACAUGCAAGUCGAGCGAACAGACGCUAAGCUUGUUCCUUUGAUGUUAGCGGAGGACGGGUGAGUAACACGUGGAUAACCUACCUAUCAUACUGGGAAAACCUCGGGAAACCGGAGCUAAUACCGUAUAAUAUAUUGAUCCGCAUGGGUCAAUAGUGAAAGACGGUUUUGGUGUCACUUAUAGAUGGAUUCGCGCUGCAUUAGCUAGUUGGUAAGGUAACGGCUUACCAAGGCAACGAUGCGUAGCCGACCUGGGAGGGUGAUCGGCCACUCUGGAGCAUAGCCACGGUCCAGAGUCCUACGGUACUAAGCAGUAUGGUAUCUUCCGCAAUGGGCGGAAGCAUGACGGAACGACGCCGCGUGAGUAGUGGUAUCGUUCUGAGCGUAAAUAUGUGUUAUUAGCGAAGAACCUUUGUGUAAGUAACUGUGCCCUUCUUGACGGUACCUAAUCAGAAAGCCACGGCUAACUACGUG
This 497-nucleotide ribosomal RNA is filed under the name uncultured bacterium. RNAcentral describes it as "partial 16S ribosomal RNA". It matches the Rfam family "Bacterial small subunit ribosomal RNA", at positions 28 to 507 of the family's 1533-position model. The record is from RNAcentral.